This 210-nucleotide ribosomal RNA is filed under the name uncultured bacterium. RNAcentral describes it as "partial 16S ribosomal RNA". It matches the Rfam family "Bacterial small subunit ribosomal RNA", at positions 524 to 732 of the family's 1533-position model. The record is from RNAcentral.
UACAGAGGGCGCGAGCGUUGUCCGGAAUCACUGGGCGUAAAGGGCGCGUAGGUGGCCACUAUAAGGCCGCGGUGAAAGUUCGGGGCUCAACCCUGAAUCUGCCGCGGCGACUGUAGGGCUAGGGCACCGUAGAGGCAGAUGGAAUUCCGGGUGUAGCGGUGGAAUGCGUAGAGAUCCGGAAGAACACCGGUGGCGAAGGCGGUUCUCUGG